Molecule: ribosomal RNA, 4373 nt
Filed under: Candidatus Woesebacteria bacterium GW2011_GWC1_30_29
Lineage: Bacteria; Candidatus Woeseibacteriota
Also listed under: 2 other names
Description: partial 16S ribosomal RNA
Rfam family: Bacterial small subunit ribosomal RNA (bases 2552-3673)
Source: RNAcentral
UGAGGAUUUGAUCCUGGUCCAGGAUGAACGCUAGCGGUGUGCUUUAAGCAUGCAAGUGGGACGAGUUGUAGCAAUACAACUAGUCGCGAACGGCUGAGUAUAAAAUAGGAAUCUACCCAAUGGUGUGGAAUACCUUAUCGAAAGAUGAGCUAAUACCACAUGACCUCGCAAGAGAAAAGGACUUAACUGUCCGCCGAUGGAUGAGCCUAUUUCCCAUCAGUUUGUUGGUAGGGUAAUGGCCUACCAAGACUAUGACGGGUAGGGGAUUUGAGAGGAUGACCCCCCAGAACAGGACUGAGACACGGCCUGUACACCUACGGGUGGCAGCAACUGGGAAUCGUGCGCAAUGGACGAAAGUCUGACGCCGCGACACCGCGUGAAGGAUGAAGGCCUUUUGGUCGUAAACUUCUUUUGCCAUAUGGGUGACCAUAUGGAGAAUAAGCACCUGCUAACUCUGUGGAUUUUUAAAAAUUGGUGCAGAGUACUGAUAGUAAUAUCGGUAGAGAAAACUUCGCUAUAUGCUGGAACAUUUUGUAAACAGAUAGAUACUAACAUUAUCAAAGGAUGAUGACAGUGAAAAUUUUAUCUGAAACCCUAAAAAACAAGCGGUUUGUAUGUGGGUUACAAAACUAUCAGCAGGUAACCUUUUUGAGAAAUCAAAAUGGGCACCUCAGAGACUACACGCGAAGCUCCGUUAGAUAUAUAAUUAUCUAAUCGGAUGAUGAUAUAGUCCACGCUAUUUAUGUCAGAUAUAAAUCAAAUAAUAGUUGGAUCGAUAUUGGGAGAUGGAAGUUUAUCACCUUUAACUAAAAGGAAUAAAUAUUCAACUCUAGAUAUUUCUCAACAUGAGAGUAAAUUGCCUUAUUUAAGGUGGUUAUAUGAUCAACUAACAAAGAAAUUUGAAUUAAAUCCGAUAUAUCAGAAAAAAGGUUUUGAGAAUCAAUAUAGGUUUAGAAGUAAGCCAAAUAAGACUCUUGGAAUUUUUAGGUCUAAAUUUUAUGACAAUUUAACAGGUUGUAAAAUUAUUCCAAAAGAUAUAGGAGAUUUACUAAAAAACCCAAUUUCUUUGGCAGUUUGGUAUAUGGAUGACGGAACUUUAGAUAAAAGAUAUAAGUAUCAUUUAAAUUCUUCAAUCGCAACAAAUUGUUUCUCAUUUGAGGAAUGCAGUUUGUUGAGUGAGGUUUUAAAUGAUAAUUUUAAACUUAAAACGUCUGUUAAUAAGACUACAAUGAGGGGUAAGAUUUACCCCAGAAUUUAUUUUAAGUCUGAAUGUAUGAAUGAUUUUAUUAAGAUCAUCAAGCCUUAUAUUAAUUCAGUUUUUAAUUACAAAAUUGGAAUUGAAUAAUCUAAACUAUAGAGUAGCCAGCAGCCGCGGUAAUACAGAGGGUGCAAGCGUUAUCCGGAUUUAUUGGGCGUAGAGCGUUUCGUAGGCGGUUUGGUAAGUUAGACUUCAAAGACCACGGCUCAACCGGGGGAAGGGGUCUAAUACUGCCAGACUUGAGGGUUUUAGGGGCAAUCGGAACUGUUGGUGUAGGGGUGAAAUCCGUUGAUAUCAACAGGAACGUCAAGGGCGUAGGCAGAUUGCUGGGAAACUUCUGACGCUGAGGAACGAAAGCUAGGGGAGCGAAAGGGAUGGGGUUUAUAAACUCUAGUUCCUCCGUUAAGUAAUUAACGGUUUAAAAAUUCGACUAUAUGCUGGAAUAACUGUGUAUCUUAGACUAGUAUUGACUUUGGUUUUAAUUCGGAUAAUACUGAAUUAAUGCCCAAAUUAAAUACUGAAAAUGUUUUAAGUGCAGUCAAUCAGCAGGGAAGAUCUCGAAAGAGAAACCCUCAGAGACUAUAUGUCGAAUAUCCUAGUAAGAAUGUAAUAAGUAAUAUAGAAGCAACUUUAUUGGGUAUCUUAUACACUGAUGGUUGUUUAUCUAGAAAGAGUAAGAAUGCUUGGAGAUUUUAUCUAAGUAAUACUUCUUACGAGAUUAUACAAAUAUUUAAAAAUUGUAUGAUUAAACUUUUUGGAUUAAACACUAAAAGAAUAAGAAUAUCUAAAUAUGUUGUUAAUGGUAAGCCUUUUUAUAAAGCAAUUGUAGAUAGUGCAUCAUCUGGAGAAUUUUUAAAUUCAAAAUAUGGUACAUUUCGAACUCUUGCUUAUAAAAGUGUAGAUGGUAAAGUAAUUUAUCCUUCUACAAAAUUACCGUUUAACAAAAAUUCUAAUCGCAAAAUAAUUUGCAAGUUUUUAAAAACUGCAUUUAGUUGUGAUGGAGGUAUAAAUUUAUAUGUAGCAAAAUCAAAGUUUGGUUACAAAUUUUUGAUUAGAAAUGCAUAUUUAGCUUGCAAACAUCCACAAUUACAGAUUGAUUAUCAUAAACUUUUAAAAGUUCUUGGUAUUAAAUCUAAAAUUUUUGAAAAAGAUGGAAAAAUACUUAUUCAAGGAAGAAAUGAAUUGAAUAAAUUUAGUAAAAAAGUUGGUUUUCUAAAAAGAGUCAAGAUAACACAAAAUUCUAAAUUUUGGCAAGGUGCUGAAAAAGAAAAAGUGUUAAAUCUUGCAUUAAAUUCUUACAAUAAUCCGAGAAAGAUUAUAAAUCUUUCAAAGUUUAAAGGAUAAAGAUAUAGUCCGACCUCAUAAGCGAUUAUGAGACUACGUGUUGAAUCGUAGUAAACAAACUAUUUAUAGUUUGUUAUAACAAAUUUGUAGAGACCCCUGUAGUCCUAGCCGUAAACUUUGCCUGCUAGCGAUCCGACUUUGGUCGGGUUGCGUAAGCUAACGCGUUAAGCGGGCCGCCUGGGGAGUACGAACGCAAGUUUAAAACUCAAAGGAAUUGACGGGAAGGCGCACAACCAGUGGAGCAUGUGGUUUAAUUCGAAACGAAACGAAGAACCUUACCCAGUCUUGACAUAUUACCGUUUUAGAUUGCCAGAAAUGGCGAUCGAUCCUUAAGUAAUUUUGGAUGGUAUUACAGGUGUUGCAUGGCCGUCGUCAGCUCGUGUCGUAGGUUAACACUUUGCGACCCUUCGAAGCAAUUCGGAGUGCGAAAUCUGGCUCAUAUCGGUGGAACUUCUUAUUUUUAAUAAGAACAAUACCGAGGGAAGUCGACUUAAAUUUUAAGUUUGACCCCGUAACGACUGAUUUUGGUAUUUUUAAAUAUCAAAUGAUAUACAAGAUAAUACGCUUGUAUAACACGCCAGCUCCCGAUUUAAUCGGGAUGAAGGUAUAGUCUAAUUACAGUUACCUUUUAAAGUAAUUGGAGGUGUUCCCUUCAGUGGGGUAACGAGCGCAACCCCUGCCCUGAGUUAAAUAAUCUCAGGGGACUUCCCUCAUUUAUUGCGGGAGGAAGUGGGGACGACGUCAGGUCAGCAUGGCCCUUAUGACUGGGGCAACACACAUACUACAAUGGAGCCGACAAUGGGUUGCCAAGCCGCAAGGCGGAGCUAAUCCCAUCAAACGGCUUCUCAGUUGGGAUUGAGGGCUGCAACUCGCCCUCAUGAACAUGGAAUUGGUAGUAAUCGCGGGUCAGCUAUACCGCGGUGAAUACGUUCUCGCCUUUUGUACACACCGCCCGUCAAGGCAGUAAAGUUAAAGGUACCCGAACUUCGAUUUUGUCGGAGGAAGGUAAAUUUAGCGAUAAGGCUUAAGUCGUUGGUUAAGUUAACGUUGCGACUUUAGAGAGUGAUCUCUAAAAAAAAUCUUGCUGUAUCGGUGAAACCUAAAGUAGUAAAAUACAAUGGUAAUACCGAGGGAACCCCAAAUUCUUUGGGGACUCCGUAGAGACUACACGCGAGCACUAUGAUAACAAAAUCGUACUUGUUAGGAAUGUUGCACGAUGCAACUGAAAGAAAAAAUACUUAUCGAAUUGCGACUAAGAAUUUUAAUUUUGCAAAAGUUAUCCGAGAGGGUAUCAUAAAAUUAAAUUCUAAGGUUUGGAUUUACAAAGAAGGAAAGAAUCGCAAUCUUUGGAUUGUAGAAUUUUCUAAAUCACUUUUAAAAGAAGUGAAUGUUAAAUCAAAACAAAAUAAAAUCGAUUACAUUCGAGGCUAUUUUGACGCAGAAGGGGGUAUUUCUCAAAGUUCUAAAGUUAGAUUUUAUAUUUAUUUUUGCCAGAAAGACAAAAUUGAUCUGGAGGAAGUAAAAAAUUAUUUAAUAGAAUUGGGAGUCAGUUGUGGAGUAACACAUAAUCCAAGUAAAAAGGUUGAUCCUAAUUAUUGGAGAUUUUUUAUACGAUCGAAAUCGUACAAAUAUUUUGCAAAAAUAAUUAGUUCAGAUCAUCCGGAAAAGAUUAAGUUAUUAGAGAUGAAGAUAUAGUCCAUACCACACGAAAGUCGUGGAAUUUAUAUGAACAAGGUAUCCCUACUGGAAGGUGGGGAUGGAUCACCUCCUU